GACGGAAGGUGCAAGCGUUGUUCGGAAUUACUGGGCGUAAAGGGCUCGUAGGCGGCCAACUAAGUCAGACGUGAAAUCCCUCAGCUUAACUGGGGAACUGCGUCUGAUACUGGAUGGCUUGGAUUCGGGAGAGGAAUGCGGAAUUCCAGGUGUAGCGGUGAAAUGCGUAGAUAUCUGGAGGAACACCGGUGGCGAAGGCGGCAUCCUGGACCGAGAUUGACGCUGAGGCGCGAAAGCCAGGGGAGCAAACGGG
RNAcentral lists this ribosomal RNA (253 nucleotides) under uncultured bacterium. RNAcentral's name for it is "partial 16S ribosomal RNA". It matches the Rfam family "Bacterial small subunit ribosomal RNA", at positions 524 to 776 of the family's 1533-position model. The record is from RNAcentral.